GCGGCUGUAGCUCAGUGGAUAGAGUAUUGGCCUCCGAAGCCUAUGGUCACGGGCCCGGCAUGCAACAAUUCGACUAUUGGUCUCCUUACAGCAUGCGGCUGUA
Molecule: transfer RNA, 103 nt
Filed under: Variovorax sp.
Lineage: Bacteria; Pseudomonadati; Pseudomonadota; Betaproteobacteria; Burkholderiales; Comamonadaceae
Also listed under: 1 other name
Description: tRNA-Arg
Source: RNAcentral